AUCGUUGUCCUUCUCUGCACUGAAUUUCUUCAAGUAGUUAAAGAAUGAGCAAGUUGAUUGUGGCUGGAGAGAUAGUAAAUGGUUUGGACAGUUUCUCUUGCUUCUUUCUCAUGUGAUAGUCACUCACUGCAUCUACAAGUCUUCCAUAGGGUUUGAACCCGAAAAUCUGAGCCAUAUCCAGCAAGGUUGAAGCAAUUGGGCCUACACGAAAGUGAGACGUGUUGCUGCAGAAUUCUAGAAGCAGAAAGCAGCAGCCAGAAGAUUCUCAUCCCUGUUUAUCAACUGCUUGGACAGGAGUAUGGCGUCAUAUACGCCAGGCCUCUUCCAAUGAGCUCCAUACCUUGGGAUGAGUCUGUCAAUCCAGUCUGCCUACUUGAUUGGACUGUUCCUCACUUCAUUCGAAGGAAACAAACGGCUUAGGUUCUUGCUAACCCAAGAAUGGGAUGCCAAGGCAGAAGAGCUUUGAAAACAAAGGGGAGCUUCGCGUCAUCUUUGAACAACUCUGUCAUUUCAGCAGGUACAGGACCAAACCAGUAAGGGCCUAGCACCAAGGUGUUUUUGAAAAGGUGAAGGACAUUUUCGUCCAGGUUCUUUUGGGCAAAAGAAUGGAGCUUGCUCCGAACCUCAAUGGCGUG
This 635-nucleotide long non-coding RNA is filed under the name Prunus persica (peach). RNAcentral's name for it is "long non-coding RNA (PPER_LNC008199)". The record is from RNAcentral. Lineage: Eukaryota; Viridiplantae; Streptophyta; Magnoliopsida; Rosales; Rosaceae.